AUGAUCAGGUUGAUAGGUCUGAGGUGGAAGUGUGGCGACACAUGGAGCUGACAGAUACUAAUCGAUCGAGGACUUAACCAUUUU
This 84-nucleotide ribosomal RNA is filed under the name Bacillus siamensis. Its description in RNAcentral is "partial 23S ribosomal RNA". It matches the Rfam family "Bacterial large subunit ribosomal RNA", at positions 2844 to 2925 of the family's 2925-position model. The record is from RNAcentral. Lineage: Bacteria; Bacillati; Bacillota; Bacilli; Caryophanales; Bacillaceae.